This 995-nucleotide ribosomal RNA is filed under the name uncultured bacterium. RNAcentral's name for it is "partial 16S ribosomal RNA". It matches the Rfam family "Bacterial small subunit ribosomal RNA", at positions 1 to 1023 of the family's 1533-position model. The record is from RNAcentral.
UGAAKUUUGAUCCUGGSUCCURUGUACSUUGGCGGCGUGUGGUCAUAUGCAAGUCGAACGAAGAAGUCCUUCGGGAUGGAUUAGUGGCGCACGGGUGAGUAAUAUAUAGUUAAUGUACCUUCAAGACUGGGAUAGCCACUGGAAACGGUGAUUAAUACUAGAUAUACCUCUCUAACAUAAGUUAGAGUGGGAAAUGUUUUUUCGCUUGAAGAUCARACUAUAUCCCAUCAGUUUGUUGGUGAGGUAAUGGCUCACCAAGGCAAUGACGGGUAGCGGGUUUGAGAGGAUGAUCCGCCACACUGGUACUGAGACACGGACCAGACUCCUACGGGAGGCAGCAGUGAGGAAUAUUGCACAAUGGGGGAAACCCUGAUGCAGCAACGCCGCGUGGAGGAUGACGCAUUUCGGUGUGUAAACUCCUUUUAUGAGUCAAGAAAAUGACGGUAGCUCAUGAAUAAGCACCGGCUAACUCCGUGCCAGCAGCCGCGGUAAUACGGAGGGUGCAAGCGUUACUCGGAAUCACUGGGCGUAAAGGACGCGUAGGCGGGUUGGUAAGUCAGAUGUGAAAUCCUACAGCUCAACUGUAGAACUGCAUUUGAAACUACCGACCUAGAGUAUGGGAGGGGGAGAUGGAAUUAGUGGUGUAGGGGUAAAAUCCGUAGAUAUCACUAGGAAUACCAAAGCGAAGGCGAUCUCCUGGAACAUUACUGACGCUAARGGCGUGAAAGCGUGGGGAGCAAACAGGAUUAGAUACCCUGAUAGUCCACGCCCUAAACGAUGAACACUAGUCGUCGRAAAGCUUGUCUUUUCGGUGAUGCACUUAACAGAUUAAGUGWUCCGCCUGGGGARUACGGUCGCARGAUUAAAACUCAAAGGAAUAGMCGGGACCCGCMCCAAGUGUUGGASCAUGUGGKUUAAUUCGGAAUCCSCGAAARACCYUUACUUGGCCYUUGACAUGAUAGAAUYCUGCYWGAARAWSSSGAAUGGCCCYUUCG